GAAGGAAGAAAGUAAAGAAGUACUUAUUUAUAGUUGCUUUCGCAGACCUUAGGUUUUAUAAAUACCAUUAAAGAACGCUUGCGUCCAAAAAACACGGGAAAUAGGAAAUCAAGAGAGUUUUGAAGCCACUCGCCGGAAGGUUUUAUAAUUCAAGAAGGCUUGCAGCCAAAAAACACGGGUUUUUGGAAAAAAAGUAAAUAAAGAAGUCAUUUCCUUAGGUUUUCUAAUUCAAGAACGCUUGCAGCCAAAAAACACGGGUUUUUGGAAAAAAAUCAAGUGUUGCAUCCACUCUAGGCUCUAUUAUUUAAUGGGCUUGCAUCCAAAAAACACGGGUUUUUGGAAAUAAAUCAAUCAAGUUUUUCAGCCACUCGCCGGAAGGUUUUAUAAUUCAAGAACGCUUGCAUCCAAAAAAGGUUUUCUUUUCUUAUAGCUUUUGACGUAAAAUUGCAAAAAAAUUCAUGCCACCUACCGGCAAAUUGAUCUCUUUUCUUGCUUUUACUAUGUAAAGUCUAGGCUUUUAUCUAUCUUUUUUUUUCUUUUUAUAUUGGUGAAAAAGAACUGCACUCUAGAAAAUCUUAUAAGGCCAGGGAAAGUACCAUCGCUUAAGUUUAAAGGCAAAAAACUAUAAAAAGCCACUAGCAAUAGUAAGUGCCAGUAGCCGACGCCCCCAAUCACUAGAGAAUGGUGCUAGCUAGUUAGUGCAUGGUGUGCAGCAACGAAGGGAAAGAGAGAGUUAGUGGGGGUUUUAGCUGCUUGUGUGAUUGGUUAACAUGCUAAUCAGUCAACAGUUCGAUCAGUCUACCGGUCAAUCAAGAUUGUUUGGAUCAGGGUGGGUUGAUAGCUUCUUUGGUCCCCCGAACCAAACCAAUACCCCCGUCGCAGUCCCAUUCACCCGUUGGUCUCCGGUUGAGAUGAGUCCUUCGGUCGGUUCUUCGCCGUUGAUACAUGGUUUCAUAAUGAAUUGACACGGGUUGAAAAAAUCCCUCUUUCAUAGGAGGCAACAAAACCGAUCCAUCAUUAUACGUGACCACUUAACUAGUUCAUGAUUCUAUGAGAAAAUAGGAGAUGAUCGAGUCAUUAGAUAGAAGGGGCCCACCCAUCGAGAGAUGAUUGGGGCGGAAUAGGCGGAUUCAUCAAAGGGCUAGAUUCAGGUCCCGGGAACACUGGUUGGAAACCAUUUCGAUCCGGAUGGCUAGGGUAAGUCUGACCUCCUACUAGAUAUUCGUAUGAUCAGACAUUCCCUCACUGGUUGGUAUAGAGAGAGGGAAUUUCUUCAACUAGAAGCCCGCCCCUUUAUUCUAUAUUAACAAAUAGGUUUAUCCUCCGACUUUUGUUCCCGUGUUUUGUGAGUAUCAAGAGGUAUAUACCUAAGUACAGAUGCUAUGGAAUCAACAUAGCUAGUUGGUUCAUAGAAAGAGAGUAUGUACUGAAAGAAAGGCCAAAAGCCCCCUCAAACUAAACUAUAGCCAGUAAGCCCUCCCUGAAGAGUUUUAGCUUCCUCCCCGCUAUUCCUGAUGGAAUUAAUUAGGAAUCGAUUCAAGGGGAGACCGGGCGCCUAAGAAAGAGCUCCUUUUUCGCCUAUAGCUUCGACUUCUACUUAGCAGCCCAAAUAAAGUACCCCUUUAACACACAAGUACGCUCACAAAAGCAAGUAAACAACCCUUAUCGAAUUGUAAGAUAUCUAAGGGUUAGCUCGGCUAAGCUAGAGUCACAGUUGUUGCUUAGGUAAACGGUAGCUCAGCUUUGCU
Molecule: long non-coding RNA, 1748 nt
Filed under: Amborella trichopoda
Lineage: Eukaryota; Viridiplantae; Streptophyta; Magnoliopsida; Amborellales; Amborellaceae
Description: long non-coding RNA (ATRI_LNC000012)
Source: RNAcentral